This 406-nucleotide ribosomal RNA is filed under the name uncultured bacterium. RNAcentral's name for it is "partial 16S ribosomal RNA". It matches the Rfam family "Bacterial small subunit ribosomal RNA", at positions 28 to 526 of the family's 1533-position model. The record is from RNAcentral.
GAUGAACGCUAGCUACAGGCUUAACACAUGCAAGUCGAGGGACCGGCGCACGGGUGAGUAACACGUAUCCAACCUGCCCUUUACUCGGGGAUAGCCUUUCGAAAGAAAGAUUAAUACCCUAUAUAAAGGAUGGGGAUGCGUUCCAUUAGGUUGUUGGUGAGGGAAUGGCCCACCAAGCCUUCGUUGGAUAGGGGUUCUGAGAGGAAGGGCCCCCACAUGGGAACAGAGACACGGUCCAAACUACUACGAGAGGAAGCAGUGAGGAAUAUUGGUAAAUGGGCGCUAGCCUGAACCAGCCAAGUAGAGUGAAGGAUGAAGGCUUAUGGGUCGUAAACUUCUUUUAUAUAAGAAUAUGUAUUAUAUGAAUAAGGAUCGGCUAACUCCGUGCCAGCAGCCGCGGUAAUAC